GAACUCAGCCCUUUCGGGCGUUUCCUCCCAAUGACUCGGCCGCCCUCUUCUCCUGGAGGGCGGCCGUUCUUUUGUCUGGG
RNAcentral lists this small RNA (80 nucleotides) under Caulobacter vibrioides CB15. Its description in RNAcentral is "Caulobacter crescentus CB15 Makes More Granules Regulator RNA (mmgR)". It matches the Rfam family "Makes More Granules Regulator RNA (mmgR)". From Rfam's summary of the family: SuhB later renamed mmgR (makes more granules regulator) was a putative non-coding RNA found multiple times in the Agrobacterium tumefaciens genome and related alpha-proteobacteria. Lineage: Bacteria; Pseudomonadati; Pseudomonadota; Alphaproteobacteria; Caulobacterales; Caulobacteraceae. RNAcentral also lists the same sequence under 1 other name. The record is from Rfam by way of RNAcentral.